AUCCAGUUGACAAGUCCCAAAUAGGACGAAACGCUCGUCCUGAAU
This 45-nucleotide non-coding RNA is filed under the name Schistosoma mattheei. The record is from RNAcentral. Lineage: Eukaryota; Metazoa; Platyhelminthes; Trematoda; Strigeidida; Schistosomatidae.